GAGAGUGUAGCUCAGUGGUAGAGUGCAUGCCUAGCAUACACCAUGUCCUGGGUUCAAUCCCUAGUACCUCCA
RNAcentral lists this transfer RNA (72 nucleotides) under Camelus bactrianus (Bactrian camel). It matches the Rfam family "tRNA". From Rfam's summary of the family: Transfer RNA (tRNA) molecules are approximately 80 nucleotides in length. Lineage: Eukaryota; Metazoa; Chordata; Mammalia; Artiodactyla; Camelidae. The record is from Rfam by way of RNAcentral. RNAcentral also lists the same sequence under 3 other names.